CCGCAAUGGGCGAAAGCCUGACGGAGCAAUACCGCGUGAGGGAGGAAUGCCUUUGGGUUGUAAACCUCUUUUCUCAGGGAAGAAGAUCUGACGGUACCUGGAGAAUAAGCAUCGGCUAACUCCGUGCCAGCAGCCGCGGUAAUACGGAGGAUGCAAGCGUUAUCCGGAAUUAUUGGGCGUAAAGCGUCCGCAGGUGGUUUUCAAAGUCCGCUGUUAAAGACUGGAGCUCAACUCCGGAAAGGCGGUGGAAACUUGAGAACUAGAGUUUGGUAGGGGUAGCAGGAAUUCCCAGUGUAGCGGUGAAAUGCGUAGAUAUUGGGAAGAACAUCGGUGGCGAAGGCGUGCUACUGGACCAUAACUGACACUCAGGGACGAAAGCUAGGGGAGCGAAAGGGAUUAGAUACCCCUGUAGUCCUAGCUGUAAACGAUGGAAACUAGGUGUGGCUUGUAUCGACCCGAGCCGUGCCGUAGCCAACGCGUUAAGUUUCCCGCCUGGGGAGUACGCACGCAAGUGUGAAACUCAAAGGAAUUGACGGGGGCCCGCACAAGCGGUGGAGUAUGUGGUUUAAUUCGAUGCAACGCGAAGAACCUUACCAGGGCUUGACAUGUCGCGAAUCUUGAUGAAAGUUGAGAGUGC
Molecule: ribosomal RNA, 637 nt
Filed under: uncultured microorganism
Description: bacterial SSU rRNA
Rfam family: Bacterial small subunit ribosomal RNA
Source: RNAcentral